This 468-nucleotide ribosomal RNA is filed under the name uncultured bacterium. RNAcentral's name for it is "partial 16S ribosomal RNA". It matches the Rfam family "Bacterial small subunit ribosomal RNA", at positions 28 to 507 of the family's 1533-position model. The record is from RNAcentral.
GACGAACGCUGGCGGCGUGCUUAACACAUGCAAGUCGAACGGAAAGGCCCUGCUUUUGUGGGGUGCUCGAGUGGCGAACGGGUGAGUAACACGUGAGUAACCUGCCCUUGACUUUGGGAUAACUUCAGGAAACUGGGGCUCAUACCGGAUAGGAGCUCCUGCUGCAUGGUGGGGGAUGGAAAGUUUCGGCGGUUGGGGAUGGACUGGCGGCUUAUCAGCUUGUUGGGGGGGUAGUGGCUUACCAAGGCUUUGACGGGUAGCCGGCCUGAGAGGGUGACCGGCCACAUUGGGACUGAGAUACGGCCCAGACUCCUACGGGAGGCAGCAGUGGGGAAUAUUGCACAAUGGGCGGAAGCCUGAUGCAGCAACGCCGCGUGCGGGAUGACGGCCUUCGGGUUGUAAACCGCUUUCGCCUGUGACGAAGCGUGAGUGACGGUAAUGGGUAAAGAAGCACCGGCUAACUACGUG